This 406-nucleotide ribosomal RNA is filed under the name uncultured bacterium. RNAcentral describes it as "partial 16S ribosomal RNA". It matches the Rfam family "Bacterial small subunit ribosomal RNA", at positions 30 to 526 of the family's 1533-position model. The record is from RNAcentral.
AUUGAACGCUGGCGGCAGGCUUAACACAUGCAAGUCGAACGAGUGGCGGACGGGUGAGUAAUGUAUGGGAAACUGCCCGAUGGAGGGGGAUAACUACUGGAAACGGUAGCUAAUACCGCAUACUAUCGGAUGUGCCCAGAUGGGAUUAGCUAGUAGGUGGGGUAACGGCUCACCUAGGCGACGAUCCCUAGCUGGUCUGAGAGGAUGAUCAGCCACACUGGGACUGAGACACGGUCCAGACUCCUACGGGAGGCAGCAGUGGGGAAUAUUGCACAAUGGGCGCAAGCCUGAUGCAGCCAUGCCGCGUGUAUGAAGAAGGCCUUCGGGUUGUAAAGUACUUUCAGCGAGGAGGCGUUACCCGCAGAAGAAGCACCGGCUAACUCCGUGCCAGCAGCCGCGGUAAUAC